RNAcentral lists this ribosomal RNA (253 nucleotides) under uncultured bacterium. RNAcentral describes it as "partial 16S ribosomal RNA". It matches the Rfam family "Bacterial small subunit ribosomal RNA", at positions 524 to 776 of the family's 1533-position model. The record is from RNAcentral.
UACGAAGGGGGCUAGCGUUGCUCGGAAUCACUGGGCGUAAAGGGUGCGUAGGCGGGUCUUUAAGUCAGGGGUGAAAUCCUGGAGCUCAACUCCAGAACUGCCUUUGAUACUGAGGAUCUUGAGUUCGGGAGAGGUGAGUGGAACUGCGAGUGUAGAGGUGAAAUUCGUAGAUAUUCGCAAGAACACCAGUGGCGAAGGCGGCUCACUGGCACGAUACUGACGCUGAGGCACGAAAGCGUGGGGAGCAAACAGG